ACCCCCAAUUAAUAUUCUCUCUCCCUUCUCUCUUUCUCUCUAACUUCUCUCUCCCCGUUUUUCACUCAUAUCUCAGACGCUUAGAACCCUAAUCAGUCGAAGCUAGCUGCUCUGAAAUCUCUUGCUCGACCUAAUUAAUCUCUUGCUCGACCUAAUUAAAUACUGUAGUUGAUGCUCUUAUGCUGCUAUUAAAGAUUUUAUAUAUGCUGCUCUCAAAAAGCGCUGCCUAGCGUAUUGUUGUUGCUUCGAAGAAACCCUAAUUCUCUCCAUAGGUAAUAAUUAGGUCUCUUGUUGUUUCUCUCUCGCUGUUUCUCUCUUGCACGUCUAAUUUUGUUGCAAUGAUGAAUUUCGUUGGUGUUGUAUGAUUGAUUUUGUGUAUGUGAUUGAUGGGUGGUAAAUUAGGGCUUGUGAAUUUAAUUGUAUUUCGAUAAAGAUAACUUUCUCGAUUUUAAUAUGAUAUUAGUUGUAAACUCGAGUAUGUUCUUUAGAACUUGUUGUUUAGCACUAAAGUUUUGAUUAUUAAGUGUUUGAUCUUGUAAAAAUUGAAAUAUUUUUGGGAAAAUGCAGGGGGUUGAGCUUUAUGUCUGUUCAUCAGUUCAAGAUGUGGUGGAUGAUGCAGAGAAUGGGGACUCGCUGGUUGGAUCGGAUUUCACGAGGUGUAUGCUGGCCAAAGAACCAAGUAAGCUAGUUAUAUUUCUCCUUAUGUGCAGUUCAAAAUAAUAGUAUAGGAACCAGAUAAUUAUAAUAGUUAUCGGAGAUUAUUAAUUAGUUGAGAAAAACAGAAGUUCAUAUAACUACAAUAAGGGGGCAAGGAUCCUUGUAAAGUCAUCGGAAUGAGGUUAUUAAUAUUUAUCGGAGGUGUAUUUCUUGGGCUAGUGUAUUUUUGUUAUGAAAUAUUUAUUAUGAAAUGUUUGCUUUGGGUGAAGGUGGUUUCUGUCAAAGUACUACUUCUGAAUGUUUGUAUCUCUGCUAUUAGAGUAUUAGGCAGAAAUGGUUUUAGUAAAAGAUGAGUACAUGACCUUAGUUCUUAUUUUUAGCCAGUAGUGUAUAACAUACAAGCAGAUCCUGUCUAUGUUCUGUGUAAAUACAUCUCUUGUAUAAGUCCUGUUUUUUCAAGUUAUAGCAAAGGAUGGAUUCUUUGUUUUAACUUAACAUUGCUGAUGAAUAAAAUUUACCAAGUUAUAGCUUUAUAAUAUAAUUCCUUUUAUUUAUCAACAGCUGGCUUCUCAUUUUCUACUACAUCUCUCUGCCAGUAGACUUUGCUUCAGGUCAGAAGAAAGCAGUACUGCAUUUUAUUUUACAAUUUCUUUAGUGUGUACAUCUGUAACAUUGUCAUCCUUUUCUAAAUCUAGUUCAGUUCCUGGCUCAUCGGGAGUUUCAUGUUUGCAAAUGUAUGAAUGAUUGGUGGAAUAUAUUUGGAGUGGAUACCCCAAAUCUGGGUAGUGUUAUAGUUCCAGUGCCUCUGCAUCUGCUCUAACGUUCCUAUUAUUUUGUUGGUUAGCUGAAGUAAAAUAUAUCAUCUGGUUUUUACAUUUUAUGUACAUUUUGGAAUGUGGAGCAGGAAUUUUGUUACUUUUACUCCCUUCUUCCUGUCUCGUUCUUUCGUUGCUGCACCUGGCUCCCUCUCCAAGUUUAGAAGUUAAAAGAAGAAUAAAUCUUCAUUUUCUGGUUUGGUCAUUUUAAAGAUGCAAAUAUUUAUGUUCAUGCAAAUUUUAAAGUACAAUGACAAACUUUACAUUCCUGGCUAGUUUCUAUAAAUUUAUCUAUUACAUUUAUUUACUAGUUUGCUUCCUGAGAAAAAGAAUGAUAAUUUUGUGUUAUAUGUGUGGUCAUGCUGAAGUUUAGUAUGAUUUUAUGCCAACCCACCUUAUUGUGUGGUUAUAUGUUGGAAUUUUUCAGCUGGUGUAUGGUAUCAGUUUAAUCUUUUAUAAUUUCAAAUGUAUUUCUGUGUAAAACUUGUCAAAUGUGUGGUUAUGCAGGCUUACAGAGUACCCAGCAGUAGAUUGACCCUAUUGUUCUAGUAUGUUAUAGUGCAUCGUACUGUUCUCCCUUUGAUUAUCAAAUGUUACAUAUCAGGAAGAUUCAGAUGUUCUAUCAUCAGUAUAUGUUGCUCUAGAUUUCAUUCACCCUACUCUACUGGUAAUGGCUAAUAGUGGCAUGCCGAAGAAGCUCUAUAAUGAAGAGAUACGUAUCUAUGCUCAUAUAUUACAGUUUGUAGUAAUCUGAAACUGGUGCCUUUACUUGUGGUUAUGAGCGAAUGUUUUAGCGAAAUCUUGACAUAUUAUAUUUAGAGUUUAGAAUUUCUGCAAGAAAAAGCCUUUACACAUCCAGUCUAAUAUUUAUUGUUUAUUGAUUCAGGAAGCAGCAGCACUAGCUAGCAGCAAGUGAUGUUUUAUUUAUGGUGCAGACAAGCCAGCACAGGGAUUUGCAAGUAACAAUAGAAGAUGGGACUCCAAUUAUACCAGCACCUGCAAUAUUAUUUUAGUAUUUUCUUAAUUGAGCAUGAGUUUGAUAGCAAAUUUAGUUAACAACUGGUUGCAAUAUUGCUUGGUUGUGUUUUGUCGAUGAACGGCUAUAUUAUUGUAGUUUGGAGUUUUUCGAUGACUUUAGAUUGCGGUAGUUUGGCCUUUGGUAUAUUGAUUGUAUAUGGUUGAAUGUUAAAUAUUGGUAUUGCGGUUUCUAUCUAUGAAUGUGGAUAGUAUUUUGGG
RNAcentral lists this long non-coding RNA (2708 nucleotides) under Daucus carota (carrot). RNAcentral describes it as "long non-coding RNA (DCAR_LNC005497)". Lineage: Eukaryota; Viridiplantae; Streptophyta; Magnoliopsida; Apiales; Apiaceae. The record is from RNAcentral.